RNAcentral lists this long non-coding RNA (840 nucleotides) under Amborella trichopoda. RNAcentral's name for it is "long non-coding RNA (ATRI_LNC004720)". The record is from RNAcentral. Lineage: Eukaryota; Viridiplantae; Streptophyta; Magnoliopsida; Amborellales; Amborellaceae.
AAGUUCUCUCUGGAAGCUAUGUUCCUAUGCAUGCAAUGAAGAAGUGCCAUCCCUUCUUUAGUACUGACAUUGCAGUCAUUGCCCUUGCGUACUUCAAAACAAAUGGGGUCAGUAAUGAAAGUGACACUGAGGGGCCACUCUGGUUCGCAUACUGGCUGGGUCAGCCAAAUGGGCUCACCCAUUGAUAAAACCUCACCUAUAAAGUCACAAGCACCGACUUCUCACUCCCUUGGAAGCCUCUUCACAUCAGGCAUUUGGUAAGAAGAACCAGCCAUUAUAAAGGGCUUAGUAGUUUACUCCCAAAAGUUGCUAAGACACUGGUUCAGUGCCAGACUAGUUUGCCAACACUUAGCAUUGAUUAUGUUUCCUAAAAUGGCUAGCGCCGACUGUGUUCGCUAAUAGUUAGCGCCGACUGUGUCUGCUAACCCUUAGCACUGGCUGCAUCUGCUAGCUCUCAGCGUCGAUUGAGCUUGUCAAUGCCCAGUGUCGGUUGCGUACCAAUGGCUAGCGUCGGCUGAGUUUGUCAACACUCAGCAUCGGUUGAGAUUGUCAAUGCCGAACGCCGUUUGUGUCCUCCAAAGGCUAGUGCUGACUGUUAUUGGAUCUCUCACACGUGCCACGAAUUCUAGUUGUGACACCUCGAACUCCACUAUGUCGACUGAUAACCGUCGCCACAUCCUUCAGCACCACCUGACACACGCACGAAUGCCAACCAUCACCAUGCCUCGCUGCUCUGCCUGACACAUGAAUGAGGUAACCGUACACCUUCCCUGCGAUGAUUCACCUCCCGCAACUGUACACCUUCCUUGCGACAGUCUACCUUCAGUAACUGUUCAUUUC